CUGAAAUAAAGUAGGUUUAUAAGGUAAGGUGUAGCUUAGUAAAUUAUUUUAUAUUUUAAUUUAUUAAGGAUAAGCUUGAUAAAAAUAGGGAAGAUGUAUAAACCAAAUAAGUUAUGUAGGCCUGAGAUUAGCUAUCAUAAUAAAACUUGUUAUAAAAUAAUUUAUAAAAUUGGGAAAAUUUUAGUACUUGUUUUCCUGAUGUUAUAGGGGUAAUAGAAGGAAUUAGUAAUCUAAUUUGUAUAUGCUAAGAUGAGUAUUUUUAAGUUUUAAGAAGAUAAAAUAAAUUAAGAACAUCUAUAAUAAUAGUUUUUUUAAGAAGAUAAAGUAAGAAAAAGGAACUCGGCAAAUAUCAGCUCCGCCUGUUUAUCAAAAACAUGGCUCUUUGUUAGUUUAGUAUAGAGAGUUGAACCUGCCCAGUGAAAUUUUUAACGGCCGCGGUACCCUGACCGUGCAAAGGUAGCAUAAUCAUUUGCCUUAUAAUUGAAGGCUUGUAUGAAUGGUUUAACGGGAGCAUUGCUGUCUCUUUUUUAGUAGAUAGAAUUUAACUUUUAGGUGAAGAGGCUUAAAUAUAAUUGAAAGACAAGAAGACCCUAUCGAGCUUAAAAAUUAAAUUAGGAAUAAGUUAUAAAUUUAGAUUUUCCGCUAACUCAUUUUUUAAUUGGGGCGAUUAAGGAAUAGAAGAAGCUUCCUUUAGUUUGUUUGAACUUAUAGGUAUUGAUCCAGCUAAAGCUGAUUAAAAGAAUUAGUUACCGUAGGGAUAACAGCAUAAUCUCUCUUGAGAGACCUAAUCGAAAGAGGGGGUUGUGACCUCGAUGUUGGACUAGAAUAUCCUAAAGGUGCAGAAGUCU
This 848-nucleotide ribosomal RNA is filed under the name Brotia costula. RNAcentral describes it as "partial 16S ribosomal RNA". It matches the Rfam family "Bacterial large subunit ribosomal RNA", at positions 1429 to 2564 of the family's 2925-position model. Lineage: Eukaryota; Metazoa; Mollusca; Gastropoda; Pachychilidae. The record is from RNAcentral.